AGAGUUUGAUCCUGGCUCAGGAUGAACGCUGGCGGCGUGCUUAACACAUGCAAGUCGAACGAACCUUCGGGUGAGUGGCGGACGGGUGAGUAACGCAUGGGAAUCUGCCCUCAGGAGGGGGAUAACGACUGGAAACGGUCGCUAAUACCCCAUAUGCCGAGAGGUGAAAUGAAUUUCGCCUGAGGAUGAGCCCGCGUCUGAUUAGCUAGUUGGUGAGGUAAGAGCUCACCAAGGCGACGAUCAGUAGCUGGUCUGAGAGGAUGAUCAGCCACACUGGGACUGAGACACGGCCCAGACUCCUACGGGAGGCAGCAGUGGGGAAUUUUCCGCAAUGGGCGAAAGCCUGACGGAGCAACGCCGCGUGAGGGAUGAAGGCCUCUGGGCUGUAAACCUCUUUUCUCAAGGAAGAAGAUCUGACGGUACUUGAGGAAUAAGCCACGGCUAAUUCCGUGCCAGCAGCCGCGGUAAUACGGAAGUGGCAAGCGUUAUCCGGAAUCAUUGGGCGUAAAGCGUCCGCAGGUGGCUUUGUAAGUCUGCCGUUAAAGCGUGGAGCUCAACUCCAUUUCAGCGGUGGAAACUACAAAGCUUGAGUGUGGUAGGGGCAGAGGGAAUUCCCGGUGUAGCGGUGAAAUGCGUAGAUAUCGGGAAGAACACCAGUGGCGAAGGCGCUCUGCUGGGCCAUAACUGACACUCAUGGACGAAAGCCAGGGGAGCGAAAGGGAUUAGAUACCCCUGUAGUCCUGGCCGUAAACGAUGAACACUAGGCGUCGGGGGAAUCGACCCCCUCGGUGUCGUAGCCAACGCGUUAAGUGUUCCGCCUGGGGAGUACGCACGCAAGUGUGAAACUCAAAGGAAUUGACGGGGGCCCGCACAAGCGGUGGAGUAUGUGGUUUAAUUCGAUGCAACGCGAAGAACCUUACCAGGGUUUGACAUCCUGCGAACCCCUGAGAAAUCGGGGGGUGCCUUCGGGAACGCAGUGACAGGUGGUGCAUGGCUGUCGUCAGCUCGUGUCGUGAGAUGUUGGGUUAAGUCCCGCAACGAGCGCAACCCACGUCUUUAGUUGCCAGCAUUUAGUUGGGCACUCUAGAGAGACCGCCGGUGAUAAACCGGAGGAAGGUGUGGAUGACGUCAAGUCAUCAUGCCCCUUACAUCCUGGGCUACACACGUACUACAAUGCUACGGACAAAGGGCAGCGAACUCGCGAGAGCAAGCAAAUCCCAUAAACCGUGGCUCAGUUCAGAUCGUAGGCUGCAACUCGCCUACGUGAAGGAGGAAUCGCUAGUAAUCGCAGGUCAGCAUACUGCGGUGAAUACGUUCCCGGGCCUUGUACACACCGCCCGUCACACCAUGGAAGUUAGCCACGCCCGAAGUCGUUACUCCAACCCUUGUGGAGGAGGAUGCCGAAGGUGGGGCUGAUGACUGGGGUGAAGUCGUAACAAGGUAACC
RNAcentral lists this ribosomal RNA (1446 nucleotides) under uncultured bacterium. Its description in RNAcentral is "bacterial SSU rRNA". It matches the Rfam family "Bacterial small subunit ribosomal RNA". The record is from RNAcentral.